RNAcentral lists this ribosomal RNA (1047 nucleotides) under Triticum aestivum (bread wheat). RNAcentral describes it as "partial small subunit ribosomal RNA". The record is from RNAcentral. Lineage: Eukaryota; Viridiplantae; Streptophyta; Magnoliopsida; Poales; Poaceae.
AUGGCUGCUCCAGUAGACACGUCCUUCUGCCUCGUCGGCCCCGUGCCGUUCAAGGACGUGCACCAGGACGACGACGACCAUGCGAUGCCCCAGGCCGAGGACGCGGACGUGCACGAGGACGACGAGGACGACCAUGUGAUCAUCAUCAGCCCGGGCUUGCCGUUGCGGCUUCACCAGGGCGUGUGGUUGUUCGACGAUCUUCGCCCCGCGUCCAUCUCCGUCCAGCGGCGCUUUGUCCUGCGGCCCGGCGACGUGCUCCUCGCGAGCCCUCCGAAAUGCGGCACCACCUGGCUCAAGGCGCUCGCCUUCGCCACCAUGGCGCGGGCCGCAUACCCGGUCUCCGACGCCAACCACCCGCUCCGCCGCCUCAACCCGCACGAGUGCGUCCCCUUCAUGGAGGCCCUGUUCAGCGAGGGCCAGCAGGCCAAGCUGGAGGCGCUGCCGUCGCCUAGGCUCCUGCAGACGCACAUGCACCACUCCAUGCUGCCUCACUCCCUCGCCGGCACCCCGGACUGCAAACUCGUCUUCAUCUGCAGGGAGCCCAAGGAUAUGCUGGUUUCCUCGUGGCACUUGUACAGAAGCACACGAGGCGUCACCUUAUCCUUCUCCGACAUGUUCGAGCUGGCGUGCGAGGGCAAGAUCGCGUAUGGCCCUCUCUGGGACCAGCUCCUAGGCUACUGGAACGCGAGCAAAGCAGCUCCGGAGAGGGUCAUGUUCCUGAGGUACGAGCAGAUGAUGGCCGAUCCGGUCAGCACCGACCGGGAGCUCGCGCGGUUCCUUGGUGUGCCCUUCACGCCGGCCGAAGAGGCGGCGGGAGUGCCGGCCGACAUCGCCGAGAUGUGCAGCAUCGGGGCGAUGAGAGGCCUGGACGCCAACAGAAGAGGAAGCACCGGGACCAUGUCUAUCCAGUUCCGGCAUGAAACCUUCUUCAGAAAAGGGGUCGUCGGGGACUGGGUGAACCAUAUGACGCCCGAGAUGGCCCGGCGCAUCGAUGCCAUCUUGGAGGAGAAGCUCCGUGGAUCGGGCCUUACCUUCUCGUCUUCUUGA